GACGAACGCUGGCGGCGUGCUUAACACAUGCAAGUCGAACGGAAAGGCCUCUUUCGGGGGGUACUCGAGUGGCGAACGGGUGAGUAACACGUGAGUAACCUGCCCUUGACUUUGGGAUAACUUCAGAAAACUGGGGCUAAUACCGGAUAGGAGCUCCUGCUGCAUGGUGGGGGUUGGAAAGUUUCGGCGGUUGGGGAUGGACUCGCGGCUUAUCAGCUUGUUGGUGGGGUAGUGGCUUACCAAGGCUUUGACGGGUAGCCGGCCUGAGAGGGUGACCGGCCACAUUGGGACUGAGAGAAGGCCCAGACUCCUACGGGAGGCAGAAGUGGGGAAUAUUGCACAAUGGGUGGAAGCCUGAUGCAGCAACGCCGUGUGCGGGAUGACGGCCUUCGGGUUGUAAACCGCUUUCGCUCAUGACGAAGCUUUGUGUGACGGUAGUGGGUAAAGAAGCACCGGCUAACUACGUG
RNAcentral lists this ribosomal RNA (467 nucleotides) under uncultured bacterium. RNAcentral's name for it is "partial 16S ribosomal RNA". It matches the Rfam family "Bacterial small subunit ribosomal RNA", at positions 28 to 507 of the family's 1533-position model. The record is from RNAcentral.